This 157-nucleotide ribosomal RNA is filed under the name uncultured bacterium. RNAcentral's name for it is "partial 16S ribosomal RNA". It matches the Rfam family "Bacterial small subunit ribosomal RNA", at positions 355 to 509 of the family's 1533-position model. The record is from RNAcentral.
UGAGGAAUAUUGGUCAAUGGGCGAGAGCCUGAACCAGCCAAGUCGCGUGAGGGAAGACGGUCCUACGGAUUGUAAACCUCUUUUGUCGGGGAGCAAUAAGGCGUACGCGUACGCAGAUGCGAGUACCCGAAGAAAAAGCAUCGGCUAACUCCGUGCC